UAGUGGCGGCGGUGGAGGAAGGACCGUGGAGCCAGGCAGGGAGGCGGGAGGGCUAAUAUUACA
This 63-nucleotide small RNA is filed under the name Mus pahari (shrew mouse). Its description in RNAcentral is "sRNA (MGP_PahariEiJ_G0007966.1)". Lineage: Eukaryota; Metazoa; Chordata; Mammalia; Rodentia; Muridae. The record is from RNAcentral.